This is a small nucleolar RNA of Callorhinchus milii (elephant shark), 128 nucleotides long. Its record names the gene SNORA63. It matches the Rfam family "Small nucleolar RNA SNORA63". From Rfam's summary of the family: E3 belongs to the H/ACA class of snoRNAs and is involved in the processing of eukaryotic pre-rRNA and has regions of complementarity to 18S rRNA. The record is from Ensembl. NCBI's taxonomy places the organism in Eukaryota, Metazoa, Chordata, Chondrichthyes, Chimaeriformes, Callorhinchidae.
GUGCAGGAUAAGUUACAACAUGGCUGUGUGGUGCUGUGCUGUCGUUCCCCCUGCCAACAGCAACUCGCUUCCUACUAUCCCUGUCGGCCUCGCUGUCACGGCCGCCAGGGACGCUUGGUCACGUACAC